This is a long non-coding RNA of Oncorhynchus gorbuscha (pink salmon), 728 nucleotides long. RefSeq lists it as uncharacterized. NCBI's taxonomy places the organism in Eukaryota, Metazoa, Chordata, Actinopteri, Salmoniformes, Salmonidae. The transcript has 3 exons. The record is from RefSeq and is a predicted model, not a curated record.
CACAGAUUAUAAAAGGAAAAUCAACCACGUCGCGGACACUGACAUCUUGCUUCCGGACAGGCUGAAAACCUUCUUCACUCAGGACAAUACAGUGCCACCGAUGCAACCCGCUAUCAAGGACUGUGGGCUCUCCUUCUCCGUGGCCGAUGUGAGUAAGACGUUUAAGCGUGUUAACCCUCGCAAGGCUGCCGGCCCAGAUGGUAUCUCAAACCGCGUCCUCAAAGCAUGCACAGACCAGCUGGCUAGUGUGUUUACAGAUAUAUUCAAUCUCUCCCUAUCUCAGUAUGUUGUCCCCACAUGCUUCAAGAUGGCCACCAUUGUACCUAAGAAUGAAAAAAAGAGAAAUCUCAGUUUCCUUCUCCAGCGAAUGCCGGGGAUCUGGGUCUGGUCGGGUGUUUGUAGUAUCUCCCUCCCAUCCGAAGAUCAUUGAAGAAAAACUCUGUCUAAUCUGAGCGUUUGAAGUCUCUGGUUUACCAACCACUGGUCCUGGGAACCAUCAUUACGUGCACCUGGCUUUAAUCAUUACGCACACCUGCGCUUCAUAAUUAAGCACACCUGGACUCCAUUACCUCACUCAUUAAUUUCCCUUUAUCUGGCACUACCUUAGGUUCCUUUCCCAGGCGGUAUUGUUUAUGUUGUCUAGAUUCUACGCUGUAUCGGUCCAUGUUAUUUGUUAUAUUAAACCACCUGCUUCUCGACUCCCAGUGUCUAUGGUACAGUCAUAUUAA